This 77-nucleotide small nucleolar RNA is filed under the name Chinchilla lanigera (long-tailed chinchilla). Its description in RNAcentral is "Small nucleolar RNA SNORA33 (ENSCLAG00000018642.1)". The record is from RNAcentral. Lineage: Eukaryota; Metazoa; Chordata; Mammalia; Rodentia; Chinchillidae.
AAGUCUGGCUAAAGUAAUGCCAUGUUAGUGAGCCUUAAAGAGUGACGUCAUUAAGGCCCCUAAAAGUAGCUACAAUA